GAUGAACGCUGGCGGUAUGCCUAACACAUGCAAGUCGUACGAGAGUUUUUAACUCUAGUGGCGGACGGGUGAGUAACACGUGAGAAUUUGCCUUUAGGAGGGGGACAACAAUCGGAAACGAAUGCUAAUACCCCAUAUGCUUUCGAGUGAAAUGGAUUUUAUCCGCCUAGAGAGAAGCUCGCGGCUGAUUAGCUUGUUGGUAAGGUAAGAGCUUACCAAGGCGACGAUCGAGUAUCUGGUUUGAGAGGACGAUCAGCCACACUGGAACUGAGACACGGUCCAGACUCCUACGGGAGGCAGCAGUGAGGAAUUUUUCUGCAAUGGGCGAAAGCCUGACAGAGCAAUACCGCGUGAGGGAUGAAGACUUACUGAGUUGUGAACCUCGGUGCCUUAAGGAAGAAGAUCUGACGGUACUUAAGGUGGAAAGCAUCGGCUAACUCCGUGCCAGCAGCCGCGGUAAAGUGACUACUG
RNAcentral lists this ribosomal RNA (471 nucleotides) under uncultured bacterium. RNAcentral's name for it is "bacterial SSU rRNA". It matches the Rfam family "Bacterial small subunit ribosomal RNA", at positions 28 to 534 of the family's 1533-position model. The record is from RNAcentral.